AGAGACACGACAGAUCAAGUCUGUCAGGCGUCCGCACAAGUAACCUGCAUCCAGGAUUCCCGGCCUAGGCCGAGGAACGUCCCCAAUACGGGGCCUUAGCUCAGCUGGGAGAGCACCUGCUUUGCAAGCAGGGGGUCGUCGGUUCGAUCCCGACAGGCUCCACCAUCUGGGCAAAGACAACGGGUCUGUAGCUCAGGUGGUUAGAGCGCACCCCUGAUAAGGGUGAGGCCGGUGGUUCGAGUCCUCCCAGACCCACCAUCCUGGAAUGCGUACACUAAAAGAUUGAAAUGAUCAGGCGUUGAGGCCUGGUUAUGUUCUCUGAAAAUCGGAAUGUAGCGAGCGUUUGAGAUGAAGAAUACUCAAGACGUGUCGUGAGGCUAAGGCGGGUGCAGCAAUGCACCUAAACAUUUGAAAUGUCGUUGAAAUUCGCGCGACAGGUUAUAUGGCUUCGAGGCAACUUGAGGUUAUAU
Molecule: unclassified non-coding RNA, 470 nt
Filed under: Solilutibacter tolerans
Lineage: Bacteria; Pseudomonadati; Pseudomonadota; Gammaproteobacteria; Lysobacterales; Lysobacteraceae
Description: Lysobacter tolerans partial 16S-23S ribosomal RNA intergenic spacer
Rfam family: tRNA (bases 182-255)
Source: RNAcentral